Molecule: ribosomal RNA, 156 nt
Filed under: uncultured bacterium
Lineage: Bacteria
Description: partial 16S ribosomal RNA
Rfam family: Bacterial small subunit ribosomal RNA
Source: RNAcentral
GGGGAAUAUUGCACAAUGGGCGCAAGCCUGAUGCAGCCAUGCCGCGUGUGUGAAGAAGGCCUUCGGGUUGUAAAGCACUUUCAGCGGGGAGGAAGGCGUUAAGGUUAAUAACCUUGGCGAUUGACGUUACCCGCAGAAGAAGCACCGGCUAACUCC